This 418-nucleotide ribosomal RNA is filed under the name uncultured bacterium. RNAcentral describes it as "bacterial SSU rRNA". It matches the Rfam family "Bacterial small subunit ribosomal RNA", at positions 362 to 773 of the family's 1533-position model. The record is from RNAcentral.
UAUUGGACAAUGGGGGCAACCCUGAUCCAGCAAUGCCGCGUGUGUGAAGAAGGCCUUCGGGUUGUAAAGCACUUUCGGUGGGGACAAACAAGGUGGCGCUAACAUCGCCGCCUCUGAUGGUACCCACAGAAUAAGCACCGGCUCACUUCGUGCCAGCAGCCGUGGUAAUACGAAGGGGGCUAGCGUUGUUCGGAAUUACUGGGCGUAAAGCGCGUGUAGGCGGGCCGUUAAGUCGGGGGUGAAAGCCCAGAGCUCAACUCUGGAAUUGCCUUCGAUACUGGCGGCCUGGACCCAAGUAGAGGCGAGUGGAAUUGCGAGUGUAGAGGUGAAAUUCGUAGAUAUUCGCAGGAACACCAGUGGCGAAGGCGACUCGCUGGACUUGUGGUGACGCUGAGACGCGAAAGCGUGGGGAGCAAAC